CCUGGGGAGGAACUCAUCUGCCUCAGCUCCAGCUCACAGCUGGAAGAAGAACACAGUGAGAGCCCAUGCUUACAGGCGGUGCUCAGAGAUGCAGGAACUCCAAAAUCAAGAGGCAGGAUCCAACAUCAAGAACGAGCUGAUGUUUGGAGUACAAAACAACACUCCCAGGAGCUAGUUUUUUGAGAGGAGUGGUGACAAGUGCAUCUGAAAUGCCAGUGGCUCUGUAGGAAGUUGGUGGUAAGCAUGCCAGAAAAAAAACAGACUGGUGACAAAGCAUAGGACCCUGACGGCCUCAUAUCAUCUCUGUUGUCCAAAGUGGUGUGCUUAAUUCAGUGGGCCCUUAAGCACUGCUACUGUGACAACUGUCCUUUCAGUUUAAGGAGUGCCAAACCAUGUCUAUCAGGUGCCAACCCCAACCACAGUGCUUUAAACUUGACUGGAAGGCACUAGCUAGCCUUUCUGGGACAUGGAAAUAGGGUAGGGCAUAGAAAAUCCUUAAAGCACGUGUUUUUAUACAUUAAAAGACUAACUGAUUUAACUGCAUUUUAUUUAUAGUUUUCAAAAGAAAAACAAAAAGUAUUUGGCAAGACUUUUUCUCCCCCCACAUUUUCAAGCAUGUUUACUGUAAAUAACAUAGUAGAUAUAAAAAUUUUAUUGGAGAACAUUUGUAUUAGCUCUGCUUCUCUCUGGGGUUGUAUAUCUUGAGGAUAUAACCAAUUCUAACACUUAAGGGACUGGAGAAGUGAAAGUGAUUCUACCUUCAGAAACAGGAUUAUUCUCUUAAAGCUAUAUACUUUUUUCUGUUAAACCCACUGAGGCACUAUUAGAAUAGCUGCAUUCAUAUUUCUUAGGCUGAUUUCUAUUUUUAUGAAUUACUACGUAAUGUUACUAGCACAAUGUGGAUAGAUAUAUAUUUGGACAUUGGGAGAGGGGACGAACUCAAACUUUUACACACAGUAUGAUAGAUUCUGUGCUUGUUGUUGCUACCUGCGAAGCACAUUUGGGAUUGUAAUAUUAAUCUAGUAGUACCAAAAAAAGCAUGCCAAGUGUCAGUAAAUAAUUAUCAAAGGAAAGAGCAAAGAACAAACUGGGUAAUGUAUAGUGUGCUUACAUCUUGACCAUCUCCUCUAGUCCCCGCAUCUCAAAAGGGAUGUAGAAGGAAAGCAUGGGCAGGCAUCAGUUU
Molecule: long non-coding RNA, 1183 nt
Filed under: Anser brachyrhynchus (Pink-footed goose)
Lineage: Eukaryota; Metazoa; Chordata; Aves; Anseriformes; Anatidae
Description: lncRNA (ENSABRG00000008349.1)
Source: RNAcentral